UACGGAGGGGGCAAGCGUUAUUCGGAAUUAUUGGGCGUAAAGGGCGCGUAGGCGGCUUGGCAAGUGGAUGGUGAAAUCCCUCGGCUUAACCGAGGAACUGCCGUCCAAACUGCUUAGCUUGAGACCGGGAGAGGUGAGUGGAAUUCCCAGUGUAGCGGUGAAAUGCGUAGAUAUUGGGAGGAAUACCAGUGGCGAAGGCGGCUCACUGGACCGGUACUGACGCUGAGGCGCGAAAGCGUGGGGAGCAAACGGG
Molecule: ribosomal RNA, 253 nt
Filed under: uncultured bacterium
Lineage: Bacteria
Description: partial 16S ribosomal RNA
Rfam family: Bacterial small subunit ribosomal RNA
Source: RNAcentral